RNAcentral lists this ribosomal RNA (310 nucleotides) under Lodderomyces parapsilosis. RNAcentral describes it as "eukaryotic LSU rRNA". The stretch from base 1 to 124 matches the Rfam family "5.8S ribosomal RNA", at positions 31 to 154 of the family's 154-position model. Lineage: Eukaryota; Fungi; Ascomycota; Pichiomycetes; Serinales; Debaryomycetaceae. The record is from RNAcentral.
CAUCGAUGAAGAACGCAGCGAAAUGCGAUAAGUAAUAUGAAUUGCAGAUAUUCGUGAAUCAUCGAAUCUUUGAACGCACAUUGCGCCCUUUGGUAUUCCAAAGGGCAUGCCUGUUUGAGCGUCAUUUCUCCCUCAAACCCUCGGGUUUGGUGUUGAGCGAUACGCUGGGUUUGCUUGAAAGAAAGGCGGAGUAUAAACUAAUGGAUAGGUUUUUUCCACUCAUUGGUACAAUCUCCAAAACUUCUUCCAAAUUCGACCUCAAAUCAGGUAGGACUACCCGCUGAACUUAAGCAUAUCAAUAAGCGGAGGA